GUGGGUUUGCUGCUGCCUCAACACCCUGACCUUCUCCAGGCAGUGGGUCCCAGAUCUGCAGUCUGUGCUCUGGGAAAAGGUUUCAGAAGACCUGUGAGGAAGGCAAUUGAAUCAGUGCAGGUUAUUGAUUUCCCAGAGACUGAGACAGUGGAAUACUGUCAAGGUUUGAAGGCUGGCACAGACAUACGAGUUGUUUUUAGAGAAAGCUCUGUGAAGACCCAGGAG
This is a non-coding RNA of Cyanistes caeruleus (blue tit), 225 nucleotides long. Lineage: Eukaryota; Metazoa; Chordata; Aves; Passeriformes; Paridae. The record is from RefSeq and is a predicted model, not a curated record.